GAACUGGUGCCAGACUGAAAUGGAGCGGGCCCGCAAGCCCGUACAUGCAGGUUCAAAUCCUGCCCAGUUCU
This 71-nucleotide transfer RNA is filed under the name Rhizobium sp. Leaf306. It matches the Rfam family "tRNA". From Rfam's summary of the family: Transfer RNA (tRNA) molecules are approximately 80 nucleotides in length. Their secondary structure includes four short double-helical elements and three loops (D, anti-codon, and T loops). The record is from Rfam by way of RNAcentral. Lineage: Bacteria; Pseudomonadati; Pseudomonadota; Alphaproteobacteria; Hyphomicrobiales; Rhizobiaceae.